CUCUGUUUCUCUCAGUAUGAAUACGUCCAGUUGAUGUCUCUACAUACAUUCUUAUCAUAUUUUGAAAGAGAUCGAAAUCUAGAAAAACGAGCGACUGAAACUAGUAAGUGACUGAAUUGGCACGUGGUGAGAGGUAUUUUGUACGGCGUCAAGAAUAUUGCACAUUCAAGCGAGGAGGAUUUCAGUACUCUGAGAUAAUGCGACACUCAGCGUGCAAAUUCCUCGCCCUUGGUAUGCUAAUGUGUUGCCUUCCUCGGACCAGAGGUAAUGAAUGUUGUGACGCAGUGUGGGACUACGUUGACGACGCAUUUGAAAUGGUCUGUUAUGAUAAGAAACUAGCGGAUGAAAGUUUUUGCUGCGGGAUCGGACCUUGUCAGGAUAAAAUCAACUGUUGUAAUUGUGAGGGAGGCUGUCGACGACCUAUUAUUGUAGAGCCACCCCCAGAACCCCGAAGUGCUAAUUUGCUGUCGAAUAGUGAACCAGAGGCUUCGUGACAGAAAAAAAUAGCUUUUUCAAUUCUGUGAGAUAUGCCCCAUGACUCAUUUUUGUUCCGUAGCAAGUAUGCUGCGAUUUUAAGCAAAGGCAUUGGUUGUGCAUGGCUCUCCGUUGAAUAAAAUGAAAUCUGUGCAACCGUUGUAAUUAUAAACGCAAUACAGAUGUUAAUUUUUUGAGUGAA
Long non-coding RNA from Bemisia tabaci, 676 nucleotides. RefSeq lists it as uncharacterized. The record is from RefSeq and is a predicted model, not a curated record. Lineage: Eukaryota; Metazoa; Arthropoda; Insecta; Hemiptera; Aleyrodidae.